This 23-nucleotide microRNA is filed under the name Caenorhabditis elegans. RNAcentral's name for it is "cel-miR-67-5p". Its record names the gene cel-miR-67-5p. The record is from miRBase by way of RNAcentral. Lineage: Eukaryota; Metazoa; Nematoda; Chromadorea; Rhabditida; Rhabditidae.
CGCUCAUUCUGCCGGUUGUUAUG